AACGAACGCUGGCGGCAGGCCUAACACAUGCAAGUCGAGCGAGGACUUCGGUUCUAGCGGCGGACGGGUGAGUAACGCGUGGGAAUGUGCCCUUCUCUACGGAAUAGCCCUGGGAAACUGGGAGUAAUACCGUAUACGCCCUAUUGGGGAAAGAUUUAUCGGAGAAGGAUCAGCCCGCGUUGGAUUAGGUAGUUGGUGGGGUAAUGGCCUACCAAGCCGACGAUCCAUAGCUGGUUUGAGAGGAUGAUCAGCCACACUGGGACUAAGACACGGCCCAGACUCCUACGGGAGGCAGCAGUGGGGAAUCUUAGACAAUGGGGGCAACCCUGAUCUAGCCAUGCCGCGUGAGUGAUGAAGGCCUUAGGGUUGUAAAGCUCUUUCAGCUGGGAAGAUAAUGACGGUACCAGCAGAAGAAGCCCCGGCUAACUCCGUG
This 433-nucleotide ribosomal RNA is filed under the name uncultured bacterium. RNAcentral describes it as "partial 16S ribosomal RNA". It matches the Rfam family "Bacterial small subunit ribosomal RNA", at positions 29 to 507 of the family's 1533-position model. The record is from RNAcentral.